AUUACUGGGCGUAAAGCGCACGCAGGCGGUCUGUUAAGUCAGAUGUGAAAUCCCCGGGCUUAACCUGGGAACUGCAUUUGAAACUGGCAGGCUUGAGUCUUGUAGAGGGGGGUAGAAUUCCAGGUGUAGCGGUGAAAUGCGUAGAGAUCUGGAGGAAUACCGGUGGCGAAGGCGGCCCCCUGGACAAAGACUGACGCUCAGGUGCGAAAGCGUGGGGAGCAAACAGGAUUAGAUACCCUGGUAGUCCACGCCGUAAACGAUGUCGACUUGGAGGUUGUUCCCUUGAGGAGUGGCUUCCGGAGCUAACGCGUUAAGUCGACCGCCUGGGGAGUACGGCCGCAAGGUUAAAACUCAAAGGAAUUGGGGCGGG
Molecule: ribosomal RNA, 370 nt
Filed under: uncultured Pantoea sp.
Lineage: Bacteria; Pseudomonadati; Pseudomonadota; Gammaproteobacteria; Enterobacterales; Erwiniaceae
Description: bacterial SSU rRNA
Rfam family: Bacterial small subunit ribosomal RNA
Source: RNAcentral